UGGGGAAUUUUGCACAAUGGGGGAAACCCUGAUGCAGCGACGCCGCGUGAUUUAGAAGGCCUUCGGGUUGUAAAAAUCUUUUCUAUGGGAAGAAAAUGACAGUACCAUAGGAAUAAGGACCGGCUAAUUACGUGCCAGCAGCCGCGGUAAUACGUAAGGUCCGAGCGUGGUCCGGAAUCAUUGGGCGUAAAGGGUACGUAGGCGGGUAAGCAAGUUAGAAGUGAAAUCCUAUAGCUCAACUAUAGUAAGCUUUUAAAACUGCUCAUCUUGAUGUAUUGAAGGGAAAGUGGAAUUCCUAGUGUAGCGGUGAAAUGCGCAGAUAUUAGGAGGCAUACCGGUGGCGAAGGCGACUUUCUGGCCAUAACCUGACGCUGAGGUACGAAAGCGUGGGUAGCAAACAGG
This 402-nucleotide ribosomal RNA is filed under the name bacterium. Its description in RNAcentral is "partial 16S ribosomal RNA". It matches the Rfam family "Bacterial small subunit ribosomal RNA", at positions 355 to 776 of the family's 1533-position model. The record is from RNAcentral.